Quercus robur (English oak) is the source of this 377-nucleotide long non-coding RNA. RefSeq lists it as uncharacterized. Lineage: Eukaryota; Viridiplantae; Streptophyta; Magnoliopsida; Fagales; Fagaceae. The record is from RefSeq and is a predicted model, not a curated record. The transcript is spliced from 2 exons.
GAUAGUAUGACAAAUUUAAAUACACCUAGUUUUACUGAUAUGUUGAACUUGAUACAGGCACAAUUACCCAAAGUGGGAAAUCAAAGAAAUUAUGAAGAUGUUGAAUAACGAGAUAGAAUUGAAGAUAGAAGUGUGAUUGCUUGUAGGAAUUUAUCAGCCACGCUCCAAGUCCAUAGAGAUCAUGCAUUGAGAUAUUAACUUAAUUUUGCAAAUUUUUUAUCUUUUACUAUGGUUUUCCAGAUGUGUCUUUUAGUUAGAUCUUGUUAGAAAAUGGGCUCCUUGAACUUCUGUAUUUGGGGGAGGAGCAUCGUUUUUUGUUUGUUUGUAGGCCUAAAACUUCUGCUUCCUUUAAAAAUUAUCUUCCUUGAACUUCUGUA